This is a long non-coding RNA of Adelges cooleyi (spruce gall adelgid), 193 nucleotides long. RefSeq lists it as uncharacterized. The record is from RefSeq and is a predicted model, not a curated record. Lineage: Eukaryota; Metazoa; Arthropoda; Insecta; Hemiptera; Adelgidae. The transcript is spliced from 4 exons.
CCAGUUACUUCCAAAGGCAAACGACAGUCAUCUUUAUAAAUAUUGUCAAAAAUGCAUUUCUUGUGCACUGUUAUGUUGCUUGUAGCAAUUCUAACAUUAUUCUCAGCGGUAUCUGGGUCUGGAUCUGGGUCUGAGGACUAUUUUACACAGGCGUCCCCGCCUGUAAGACCUACUCAUCCUCCGCCAAAAUCGA